This 957-nucleotide ribosomal RNA is filed under the name Candida tropicalis. Its description in RNAcentral is "SSU rRNA". It matches the Rfam family "Eukaryotic small subunit ribosomal RNA", at positions 244 to 1225 of the family's 1831-position model. Lineage: Eukaryota; Fungi; Ascomycota; Pichiomycetes; Serinales; Debaryomycetaceae. The record is from RNAcentral.
UGAUGAUUCAUAAUAACUUUUCGAAUCGCAUGGACUUGUGCUGGCGAUGGUUCAUUCAAAUUUCUGCCCUAUCAACUUUCGAUGGUAGGAUAGUGGCCUACCAUGGUUUCAACGGGUAACGGGGAAUAAGGGUUCGAUUCCGGAGAGGGAGCCUGAGAAACGGCUACCACAUCCAAGGAAGGCAGCAGGCGCGCAAAUUACCCAAUCCCGACACGGGGAGGUAGUGACAAUAAAUAACGAUACAGGGCCCUUUCGGGUCUUGUAAUUGGAAUGAGUACAAUGUAAAUACCUUAACGAGGAACAAUUGGAGGGCAAGUCUGGUGCCAGCAGCCGCGGUAAUUCCAGCUCCAAAAGCGUAUAUGAAAGUUGUUGCAGUUAAAAAGCUCGUAGUUGAACCUUGGGCUUGGUUGGCCGGUCCAUCUUUCUGAUGCGUACUGGACCCAACCGAGCCUUUCCUUCUGGCUAGCCUUUUGGCGAACCAGGACUUUUACUUUGAAAAAAUUAGAGUGUUCAAAGCAGGCCUUUGCUCGAAUAUAUUAGCAUGGAAUAAUAGAAUAGGACGUUAUGGUUCUAUUUUGUUGGUUUCUAGGACCAUCGUAAUGAUUAAUAGGGACGGUCGGGGGUAUCAGUAUUCAGUUGUCAGAGGUGAAAUUCUUGGAUUUACUGAAGACUAACUACUGCGAAAGCAUUUACCAAGGACGUUUUCAUUAAUCAAGAACGAAAGUCAGGGGAUCGAAGAUGAUCAGAUACCGUCGUAGUCUUAACCAUAAACUAUGCCGACUAGAGAUCGGAUGUUGACCUCUUAUUGACGCAAUCGGCACCUUACGAGAAUCCAAGUCUUUGGGAUCUGGGGGGAGUAUGGUCGCAAAGCUGAAACUUAAAGGCAUUGACGGAAGGCACGACCAGGAGUGCAGCCUGCGGCUUACUUUGACUCAACACGUGUAACUCACCAGGUCC